Molecule: non-coding RNA, 20 nt
Filed under: Rattus norvegicus (Norway rat)
Lineage: Eukaryota; Metazoa; Chordata; Mammalia; Rodentia; Muridae
Source: RNAcentral
UAGGAAAACGCCCAAAGUUC